This 915-nucleotide ribosomal RNA is filed under the name uncultured Bacillota bacterium. RNAcentral's name for it is "bacterial SSU rRNA". It matches the Rfam family "Bacterial small subunit ribosomal RNA", at positions 1 to 917 of the family's 1533-position model. Lineage: Bacteria; Bacillati; Bacillota. The record is from RNAcentral.
UGGAUCCAGACUUUGAUUCUGGCUCAGGAUGAACGCUGGCGGCAUGCCUAAUACAUGCAAGUCGUACGAGCUACUUCGGUAGCUAGUGGCGAACGGGUGAGUAACACGUAGAUAACCUGCCCAUACCCGGGGGAUACGCUUUGGAAACGAAGUCUAAAACCCCAUCGGAAACCGGAAGGCAUCUUCCGGUUUUGAAAUAAGCUUCGGCUUAGGGGAUGGAUGGAUCUGCGGUGCAUUAGCUAGUUGGUGAGGCAAAAGCUUACCAAGGCGAUGAUGCAUAGCCGGCCUGAGAGGGCGAUCGGCCACACUGGGACUGAGACACGGCCCAGACUCCUACGGGAGGCAGCAGUAGGGAAUUUUCGUCAAUGGGCGCAAGCCUGAACGAGCAAUGCCGCGUGAGUGAGGAAGGCCUCCGGGUCGUAAAGCUCUGUUGCGAGGGGAAAAGGAACGGAAGAGGAAAUGAUUCCGUUUCGAUGGUACCUCGCCAGAAAGUCACGGCUAACUACGUGCCAGCAGCCGCGGUAAUACGUAGGUGGCAAGCGUUAUCCGGAAUGAUUGGGCGUAAAGGGUGCGCAGGCGGCAUAUCAAGUCUGAAGUGAAAGGUACGGGCUCAACCUGUACAGGCUUUGGAAACUGGUAUGCUCGAGGACAGGAGAGGGCGGUGGAACUCCACGUGUAGCGGUAAAAUGCGUAGAGAUGUGGAAGAACACCAGUGGCGAAGGCGGCCGCCUGGCCUGUAACUGACGCUCAGGCACGAAAGCGUGGGGAGCAAAUAGGAUUAGAUACCCUAGUAGUCCACGCCCUAAACGAUGAGGAGCAGGUGUCGGGGGUAGUACCUCGGUGCCGAAGCUAACGCAAUGACUCCUCCGCCUGGGGAGUAUGCACGCAAGUGUGCAACUCAAAGGAAUUGACGGA